RNAcentral lists this ribosomal RNA (941 nucleotides) under uncultured bacterium. RNAcentral describes it as "bacterial SSU rRNA". It matches the Rfam family "Bacterial small subunit ribosomal RNA", at positions 561 to 1504 of the family's 1533-position model. The record is from RNAcentral.
UAAAGCGCGCGUAGGUGGUUUGUUAAGUUGGAUGUGAAAGCCUGGGCUCAACCUAGGAACUGCAUCCAAAACUAACUCACUAGAGUACGAUAGAGGGAGGUAGAAUUCAUAGUGUAGCGGUGGAAUGCGUAGAUAUUAUGAAGAAUACCAGUGGCGAAGGCGGCCUCCUGGAUCUGUACUGACACUGAGGUGCGAAAGCGUGGGUAGCGAACAGGAUUAGAUACCCUGGUAGUCCACGCCGUAAACGAUGACAACUAGCUGUUAGGAGACUAUGUCUUUUAGUGGCGCAGCUAACGUUUUAAGUUGUCCGCCUGGGGAGUACGGCCGCAAGGCUAAAACUCAAAUGAAUUGACGGGGACCCGCACAAGCAGUGGAUCAUGUGGUUUAAUUCGAUGCAACGCGAAAAACCUUACCUACUCUUGACAUACUUGGAAGCUCUUGUAAUGAGAGUGUGCUUUUAAGAACCAAGAUACAGGUGCUGCAUGGCUGUCGUCAGCUCGUGUCGUGAGAUGUUCCGUUAAGUCGGAUAACGAGCGCAACCCUUACCCUUAUUUGCCAGCGAUUCGGUCGGGAACUAUAAGGGGACUGCCGGUGAUAAACCGGAGGAAGGUGAGGACGACGUCAAGUCAUCAUGGCCCUUACGAGUAGGGCUACACACGUGAUACAAUGGGAGAGACAGACGGACGCUAAGCCGCGAGGUGGUGCUAAUCCUAGAAACUCUCUCGUAGUCCGGAUUGGAGUCUGCAACUCGACUCCAUGAAGUUGGAAUUGCUAGUAAUCGCGGAUCAGCAUGCCGCGGUGAAUACGUUCUCGGGUCUUGUACACACCGCCCGUCACACCAUGGAAGUGGAUUGCACCAGAAGUAGAUAGUCUAACCUUAGGGAAGGCGUUUACCACGGUGUGCUUCAUGACUGGGGUGAAGUCGUAACAAGGUAACCAAG